RNAcentral lists this ribosomal RNA (464 nucleotides) under Vreelandella stevensii. RNAcentral describes it as "partial 16S ribosomal RNA". It matches the Rfam family "Bacterial small subunit ribosomal RNA", at positions 338 to 795 of the family's 1533-position model. The record is from RNAcentral. Lineage: Bacteria; Pseudomonadati; Pseudomonadota; Gammaproteobacteria; Oceanospirillales; Halomonadaceae.
CCUAGGGAGGCAGCAGUGGGGAAUAUUGGACAAUGGGGGCAACCCUGAUCCAGCCAUGCCGCGUGUGUGAAGAAGGCCCUCGGGUUGUAAAGCACUUUCAGUGAGGAAGAACGCCUGGUGGUUAAUACCCAUCAGGAAAGACAUCACUCACAGAAGAAGCACCGGCUAACUCCGUGCCAGCAGCCGCGGUAAUACGGAGGGUGCGAGCGUUAAUCGGAAUUACUGGGCGUAAAGCGCGCGUAGGUGGCUUGAUAAGCCGGUUGUGAAAGCCCCGGGCUCAACCUGGGAACGGCAUCCGGAACUGUCAAGCUAGAGUGCAGGAGAGGAAGGUAGAAUUCCCGGUGUAGCGGUGAAAUGCGUAGAGAUCGGGAGGAAUACCAGUGGCGAAGGCGGCCUUCUGGACUGACACUGACACUGAGGUGCGAAAGCGUGGGUAGCAAACAGGAUUAGAUACCCCGGUAGUC